GAAAUGCGAUACGUAAUGUGAAUUGCAGAUUUCAGUGAAUCAUCGAAUCUUUGAACGCACAUUGCGCCCGCUAGUAUUCUGGCGGGCAUGCCUGUUCGAGCGUCAUUUCAACCAUCAAGCCCCCGGCUUGCGUUGGAGCCCUGCGGCUGCCGCAGGCUCCCAAAUCCAGUGGCGGGCUCGUCGUCGUACCGAGUGCAGUAAACAUCCUCGCUCAGGGAACGCGUCGGGUUCUUGCCGUGAAACACCCCACAUAUCAAGGUUGACCUCGGAUCAGGUAGGAAUACCCGCUGAACUUAA
This 297-nucleotide unclassified non-coding RNA is filed under the name uncultured Lasiosphaeriaceae. Its description in RNAcentral is "sequence contains ITS1". The stretch from base 1 to 105 matches the Rfam family "5.8S ribosomal RNA", at positions 50 to 154 of the family's 154-position model. The record is from RNAcentral. Lineage: Eukaryota; Fungi; Ascomycota; Sordariomycetes; Sordariales; Lasiosphaeriaceae.